RNAcentral lists this long non-coding RNA (509 nucleotides) under Bos taurus (domestic cattle). Its description in RNAcentral is "long non-coding RNA NONBTAT013901". Lineage: Eukaryota; Metazoa; Chordata; Mammalia; Artiodactyla; Bovidae. The record is from RNAcentral.
ACUGAUUUGGGUAGUUGAGAUUAUAAGGCUGCUAUAGUAUUUUAUUCUCAGAGGCUUCAGGCAAGAAUUCCUCGAGAACAGGAAAGCCUAGAUUUAGAGUUGUUAGUCCCUGGCUUCAUUCCAUCAAAUACCUGAUUUCUGACUUUCAGUUUCAUUUCCUUAGUAAGGAAGAGGACAGGCUGUCAUUUGAUGACCUUUGCAACUCAGUUGUAUAUUGUUAUGUUUUUUCCUAAACAUACAAGUAAAAUAUUUUUAGAGACAUUUUGAAAAGUGCAGAAAAACAAAAUAGCAUCAUGAUUCUGUUUACUAAAGACCCUCAGCUAAUAUUUUGGUGGGCUUCCUUCUGAUGUUUUUCCUAUGAACAUUUUAAAAUCUUGAAAUCAUAAAAUGCAUACAUUGGGUUUUUUUCCUACUUACUGUUGUAUCUAGGGCUUUCCCCAACAUCAUUAAGUAUCCUUUGAUAAUCUAAUUUUCAACCUUUGUAAAAUACUUAUGAUUGUAUCACGAUC